GAGGCAAUCAGCUGGGGGGGGGAAGAACCAUUCCGAGGGGCAGAAACAUGCAGAGAAGCAAGAAGGAAGCACGCUGAGAGUAGUGGAAGCAGCAGGAGAAAAUCAGCAGAGGGCCGCAGCACUCGGAAGUAGAAAGAAGAAAAAUUGGCAGAAUGGGCUCCUUUGCCCCCAGACUGGUAUUGGACCCUGAUGGAGUGGAAAGAGAAUUGUGAAUUUCAACUAUAAUGCUGAAAUAAGACAGAGAGAAUCAGCAGAAUGAAGGAUUCGGGAAAGAAACGCAAAGAUGACCAGCUCUGAAAGAAGAAGGCUUAGGCUAAAGUCUAAGAGUUGGAGAUACAGAAUUGAAGCAGUAGUCGAGAGAGGAUCGUGGACCCGCGUUGGAGAGAACAAAAAGACGGUCAAUCACCCCAGUUCUUCAGCAGAGAAAUCGCAUUAAGUCAAAGCCCAGAGGAACAAGCAGGUAUCCGCGUCGCCGGAUGACGAGAGAAGCGGCAGUGGGCUCGAGUGGAAAACUCACAGACAACUCAGGGCAGGUAGACCACGUUCUGGAAUAUCUUCCCUCACUGAGUGAGCGAGCCAUUUAAUGGCUGAGAUUUGGAUUUAUUUCUUCACGGAUCUACUCCAGAGCAGCUUUAAUUUCGGAGCUAUGUAUCUUUGCGCUAAUCCUAUAUUUUUAUGCCAGUUCUUGGAAGUCGUGCGUUGUUUCAACGAAAAAGAGAAGACUUGCUACGCUUCAAACGCGGCAGAAAAAUACUGUACAAGCCACAACAGAAGGAGGGGACUUUUUUUUUUUUUCCCCCAAAAUGAGGGGACCCAGGCGAAAGCAUUUGGAGUCAAACUGACUUCUUCAAACCGCUCAGGAUUUGCAAGUUUCUCUGAACCGGAGUCUGAAUGGCAGAUGUUGUGAAUGCCUGGCAAUAGGAUUAAAAUCUUACAACAAGUU
Molecule: long non-coding RNA, 943 nt
Organism: Ornithorhynchus anatinus (platypus)
Lineage: Eukaryota; Metazoa; Chordata; Mammalia; Monotremata; Ornithorhynchidae
Exons: 3
Source: RefSeq, a predicted model, not a curated record